Molecule: ribosomal RNA, 968 nt
Filed under: uncultured bacterium
Lineage: Bacteria
Description: partial 16S rRNA
Rfam family: Bacterial small subunit ribosomal RNA
Source: RNAcentral
CUCGAGCGGCCGCCAGUGUGAUGAAAUCUGCAGAAUUCGCCCUUAGUUUGAUUCUGGCUCAGGAUGAACGCUAGCGGCAGGCUUAAUACAUGCAAGUCGUGGGGCAGCAUGGUGUAGCAAUACACUGAUGGCGACCGGCAAACGGGUGCGGAACACGUACAGAACCUUCCUUCAAGUGGUGAAUAGCCCAGAGAAAUUCGGAUUAAUACACCGUAACAUAUGAGAGUGGCAUCACUUUUAUAUUAUAGCUCAGGCGCUUGAAGAUGGCUGUGCGGCUGAUUAGGUAGUUGGCGGGGUAACGGCCCACCAAGCCUGCGAUCAGUAACUGGUGUGAGAGCACGACCAGUCACACGGGCACUGAGACACGGGCCCGACUCCUACGGGAGGCAGCAGUAAGGAAUAUUGGUCAAUGGACGCAAGUCUGAACCAGCCAUGCCGCGUGAAGGAUGAAGGUCCUCUGGAUUGUAAACUUCUUUUAUCUGGGACGAAAAAAGGGCUUUCUAGCUCGACUGACGGUACCAGAGGAAUAAGCACCGGCUAACUCCGUGCCAGCAGCCGCGGUAAUACGGAGGGUGCAAGCGUUAUCCGGAUUCACUGGGUUUAAAGGGAACGUAGGCGGGCAGGUAAGUCAGUGGUGAAAUCCUAGAGCUUAACUCUAGAACUGCCAUUGAUACUAUCUGUCUUGAAUAUCCCGGAGGUAAGCGGAAUAUGUCAUGUAGCGGUGAAAUGCUUAGAUAUGACAUAGAACACCCAUUGCGAAGGCAGCUUACUACGGGAUGAUUGACGCUGAGGCUCGAAAGCGUGGGGAUCGAACAGGAUUAGAUACCCUGGUAGUCCACGCCCUAAACGAUGGAUACUCGACAUCAGCGAUACACUGUUGGUGUCUGAGCGAAAGCAUUAAGUAUCCCACCUGGGAAGUACGACCGCAAGGUUGAAACUCAAAGGAAUUGACGGAAGGGCGAAUUCCA